CACAAACAUUCAAGCCAUAGCAACCAGGAAUGGGGAAGGAACCUGUUUUUCAGGAAGACAGUUCUGGCUCUGUAGAAUUGUUUUGGUUACUCUUGGCAGCCUCCUUUGGACGGAGUUAUGAAGCCUCAUAACAAGCACUAGAUUCCAGUGCAAUCCAGAAAAGGGAAUAUGUAAGACCUGCUCCAGGAUAAAGUGGCCUAUCCACUGCAAGACAAGAACUUGACGAGUGGGAGUCAGAGAAGCACAUGUAGGGGCAAAGGUAAGAGUAAAUGUAAGAACAAACCAAGGGGGAAGCUACGAAAGGCUCCAUCAGGCU
Molecule: long non-coding RNA, 316 nt
Filed under: Fukomys damarensis (Damara mole-rat)
Lineage: Eukaryota; Metazoa; Chordata; Mammalia; Rodentia; Bathyergidae
Description: lncRNA (ENSFDAG00000028459.1)
Source: RNAcentral